UUCAAUACGAUGAUUCCUUUUCCAAAUUUAU
This 31-nucleotide non-coding RNA is filed under the name Mus musculus (house mouse). The record is from RNAcentral. Lineage: Eukaryota; Metazoa; Chordata; Mammalia; Rodentia; Muridae.